RNAcentral lists this ribosomal RNA (234 nucleotides) under Escherichia coli. RNAcentral describes it as "partial 16S ribosomal RNA". It matches the Rfam family "Bacterial small subunit ribosomal RNA", at positions 1 to 231 of the family's 1533-position model. RNAcentral also lists the same sequence under 1 other name. The record is from RNAcentral. Lineage: Bacteria; Pseudomonadati; Pseudomonadota; Gammaproteobacteria; Enterobacterales; Enterobacteriaceae.
AAAUUGAAGAGUUUGAUCAUGGCUCAGAUUGAACGCUGGCGGCAGGCCUAACACAUGCAAGUCGAACGGUAACAGGAAGCAGCUUGCUGUUUCGCUGACGAGUGGCGGACGGGUGAGUAAUGUCUGGGAAACUGCCUGAUGGAGGGGGAUAACUACUGGAAACGGUAGCUAAUACCGCAUAACGUCGCAAGACCAAAGAGGGGGACCUUCGGGCCUCUUGCCAUCGGAUGUGCC